AGAGUUUGAUCAUGGCUCAGAUUGAACGCUGGCGGCAGGCUUAACACAUGCAAGUCGGGCGGAGAGAGGUAGCUUGCUACUGAUCUUAGCGGCGGACGGGUGAGUAAUGCUUAGGAAUCUGCCUAUUAGUGGGGGACAACAUUUCGAAAGGAAUGCUAAUACCGCAUACGUCCUACGGGAGAAAGCAGGGGAUCUUCGGACCUUGCGCUAAUAGAUGAGCCUAAGUCGGAUUAGCUAGUUGGUGGGGUAAAGGCCUACCAAGGCGACGAUCUGUAGCGGGUCUGAGAGGAUGAUCCGCCACACUGGGACUGAGACACGGCCCAGACUCCUACGGGAGGCAGCAGUGGGGAAUAUUGGACAAUGGGCGCAAGCCUGAUCCAGCCAUGCCGCGUGUGUGGAGAAGGCCUUAUGGUUGUAAAGCACUUUAAGCGAGGAGGAGGCUACUUUAGUUAAUACCUAGAGAUAGUGGACGUUAUUCGCAGAAUAAGCACCGGCUAACUCUGUGCCAGCAGCCGCGGUAAUACAGAGGGUGCAAGCGUUAAUCGGAUUUACUGGGCGUAAAGCGCGCGUAGGCGGCUAAUUAAGUCAAAUGUGAAAUCCCCGAGCUUAACUUGGGAAUUGCAUUCGAUACUGGUUAGCUAGAGUGUGGAGGGGAUGGUAGAAUUCCAGGUGUAGCGGUGAAAUGCGUAGAGAUCUGGAGGAAUACCGAUGGCGAAGGCAGCCAUCUGGCCUAACACUGACGCUGAGGUGCGAAAGCAUGGGGAGCAAACAGGAUUAGAUACCCUGGUAGUCC
This 793-nucleotide ribosomal RNA is filed under the name uncultured bacterium. Its description in RNAcentral is "bacterial SSU rRNA". It matches the Rfam family "Bacterial small subunit ribosomal RNA", at positions 8 to 796 of the family's 1533-position model. The record is from RNAcentral.